Molecule: ribosomal RNA, 496 nt
Filed under: uncultured bacterium
Lineage: Bacteria
Description: partial 16S ribosomal RNA
Rfam family: Bacterial small subunit ribosomal RNA
Source: RNAcentral
AUGAACGCUGGCGGCGUGCCUAAUACAUGCAAGUCGAGCGAACAGACGAGGAGCUUGCUCCUCUGACGUUAGCGGCGGACGGGUGAGUAACACGUGGAUAACCUACCUAUAAGACUGGGAUAACUUCGGGAAACCGGAGCUAAUACCGGAUAAUAUAUUGAACCGCAUGGUUCAAUAGUGAAAGACGGUUUUGCUGUCACUUAUAGAUGGAUCCGCGCCGCAUUAGCUAGUUGGUAAGGUAACGGCUUACCAAGGCGACGAUGCGUAGCCGACCUGAGAGGGGGAUCGGCCACACUGGAACUGAGACACGGUCCAGGCUCCUACGGGAGGCAGCAGUAGGGAAUCUUCCGCAAUGGGCGGAAGCCUGGCGGAGCAACGCCGCGUGAGUGAUGAAGGUCUUCGGAUCGUAAAACUCUGUUAUUAGGGAAGAACAAAUGUGGAAGGAACUAUGCACGUCUUGACGGUACCUAAUCAGAAAGCCACGGCUAACUACGUG